GAUGAAGAACGCAGCGAAAUGCGAUAAGUAGUGUGAAUUGCAGAAUUCAGUGAAUCAUCGAAUCUUUGAACGCACAUUGCGCCCUCUGGUAUUCCGGAGGGCAUGCCUGUCCGAGCGUCAUUGCUGCCCUCAAGCACGGCUUGUGUGUUGGGCCUCCGUCCUCCUCCCGGGGGACGGGCCCGAAAGGCAGCGGCGGCACCGCGUCCGGUCCUCGAGCGUAUGGGGCUUCGUCACCCGCUCUUGUAGGCCCGGCCGGCGCUUGCCGACACAUCAAUCUUUUUUCCAGGUUGACCUCGGAUCAGGUAGGGAUACCCGCUGAACUUAAGCAUAUCAAUAAGCGGAGGA
Molecule: unclassified non-coding RNA, 345 nt
Filed under: soil metagenome
Description: partial contains 5.8S ribosomal RNA, internal transcribed spacer 2, and large subunit ribosomal RNA
Rfam family: 5.8S ribosomal RNA (bases 1-120)
Source: RNAcentral